Molecule: ribosomal RNA, 482 nt
Filed under: uncultured bacterium
Lineage: Bacteria
Description: partial 16S ribosomal RNA
Rfam family: Bacterial small subunit ribosomal RNA
Source: RNAcentral
AUUGAACGCUGGCGGCAUGCUUUACACAUGCAAGUCGAACGGUAACAGGCCGCAAGGUGCUGACGAGUGGCGAACGGGUGAGUAAUGCAUCGGAACGUGCCCAGUCGUGGGGGAUAACUACUCGAAAGAGUAGCUAAUACCUCAUACGAUCUAUGGAUGAAAGCGGGGGACCGUAAGGCCUCGCGCGAUUGGUGCGGCCGAUGUCAGAUUAGGUAGUUGGUGGGGUAAAGGCUCACCAAGCCAACGAUCUGUAGCUGGUCUGAGAGGACGACCAGCCACACUGGGACUGAGACACGGCCCAGACUCCUACGGGAGGCAGCAGUGGGGAAUUUUGGACAAUGGGCGCAAGCCUGAUCCAGCAAUGCCGCGUGCAGGAAGAAGGCCUUCGGGUUGUAAACUGCUUUUGUACGGAACGAAACGGCUCUGGUUAAUACCCGGGGCUAAUGACGGUACCGUAAGAAUAAGCACCGGCUAACUACGUG